This 938-nucleotide long non-coding RNA is filed under the name Lactuca sativa (garden lettuce). RNAcentral's name for it is "long non-coding RNA (LSAT_LNC006393)". The record is from RNAcentral. Lineage: Eukaryota; Viridiplantae; Streptophyta; Magnoliopsida; Asterales; Asteraceae.
GGAGAAUGAAUCGACGGCCUCAAACUUGUGUAUCGACGUCCUCGUUACUUGCUGUCAUCGUUAAUCGAUAUCAUAAGGUCAAAAUUGCAUCAGUUCUCUCUCUCUCUCUCUCUCUCUCUCUCUCUCUCUCUCUCUCUCUUUUAGUCUCGCCUUCCACCCUUUCCUUAAUCUACUGCUCACUUUCGUUCGAAGAUUCAUUCAACCUCGAUCAGAAAUUAGACUACGAGUAAUAUAGACCAUAAUAUUUGGUUUCGAUUGAAUACAAAAUACCGACGAAGCGACCAUCGAUGAUCAUUAGGAGAUAAGGACAUCAGGUUAGCUUUUGCUUAUUUUGUCAAUUCUUCCCAAAUUUGAUUUCUAAUUCACGUUCUUGUCAAUCUGAUAACUGAUCAAAUGCUGAAAACUUACAACUUUUUUUUUCCUGAUUAUGUUUGUGUAUCAGAUUUUUGGAGACUUGAUUGGAGUCGAUCUUCAUUCUUUAUUACCUCCACGUUUCAGAUUGUUUAGUUAACAAAGUAGUAUCUUUGUAAAUUUUUGAUUCAGAAGUUUUAAUCAUGUUCUAAAUUUUCUAAUCUUUGUUUUUUUAAUUUAUUAUGCAGUUGGAGCUUUCUUUGAAUUGAAUCUGUUCUGCAACUUUAAGAAAGAAAUUAGAAAUCAAGUGUAAUCUUUUCCUUUAACCAGUAGUGUUUUUUUUUUUUUUUUUGACAAUCUACAAUGUUUCCUAAAAGACAUUUAUCGGAGGCCAGAAAAAGAGAAACAAAAAAUUGCCGAUGCUUUCAUUCAAACUCAAAAAAGAUAUAUUCAUAGCUUUUUUUAAACCAUCAAGUCUAUCUAUUUUGAAUGAAAAUGAUGCUAAUUUGGAUGACAAAAAUACUAAUUUAAAUGAAUGUAUAAUUAUUUUUAACCACAGAAUUUCGGAUUUGCUCGAUAAUCAAUCA